AACGAACGCUGGCGGCAGGCCUAACACAUGCAAGUCGAACGAAGCCUUCGGGCUUAGUGGCGGACGGGUGAGUAACGCGUGGGAACGUGCCCUUUGGUUCGGAAUAGCCCCGGGAAACUGGGAGUAAUACCGGAUAAGCUCUACGGAGGAAAGAAUUUCGCCAAAGGAUCGGCCCGCGUUGGAUUAGGUAGUUGGUGGGGUAAUGGCCUACCAAGCCGACGAUCCAUAGCUGGUUUGAGAGGAUGAUCAGCCACACUGGGACUGAGACACGGCCCAGACUCCUACGGGAGGCAGCCUGAGAGCCAAGGCACACAGGGGAUAGG
This 323-nucleotide ribosomal RNA is filed under the name uncultured Pseudomonadota bacterium. Its description in RNAcentral is "bacterial SSU rRNA". It matches the Rfam family "Bacterial small subunit ribosomal RNA", at positions 29 to 379 of the family's 1533-position model. Lineage: Bacteria; Pseudomonadati; Pseudomonadota. The record is from RNAcentral.